UUGAUAUUCAUUCUAAACCGGUAAGGAGAGUUAUCAAUCUGAUCUCCCAUAAGGAGCUCCCCAAGAUUCUCAGCACUUUUUUUUAUUCCACCAUUUGGCUUGCAAUAAGGUAGACUAUAGUAACUAAAGGGAAGCUCGGUUUCAAUAGAAGUUAAGGAAUUAACUUUGGCAAAUAUCCGUUCACCAUUGGAAUACGUGUGCAUAUAGCUACCAGGCAGAUAAAACGCAUUGCAAGCAUGCACAAAGAGAACCACCAAAAGGGAAGCCCAGUAAAUGGUGGGCAUCCUCAUUUUCGACAUCAAUGAGAAAGCCACUAAAUUAAGCAGAUCUUUGAAUCAGAACUCGAUCUAAGUUAACCUGAAGCAGAUCUGGAGAGGUGAAGACAGUCCUAGUGGAAACAAGUCGGAUCCGAAAUCCGCGAUGCCGCCUCGAACAGCGUGAAUAGAAAGCAGAACCAGAACCCUCUGCGUUUCUCUGUGGGAAAGUUCUGAUUUUCCUACUUGAUGCGAGGAAGAG
This 516-nucleotide unclassified non-coding RNA is filed under the name Hevea brasiliensis (rubber tree). The record is from RNAcentral. Lineage: Eukaryota; Viridiplantae; Streptophyta; Magnoliopsida; Malpighiales; Euphorbiaceae.